Molecule: ribosomal RNA, 942 nt
Filed under: Klebsiella pneumoniae
Lineage: Bacteria; Pseudomonadati; Pseudomonadota; Gammaproteobacteria; Enterobacterales; Enterobacteriaceae
Description: partial 23S ribosomal RNA
Rfam family: Bacterial large subunit ribosomal RNA
Source: RNAcentral
UCAUCUUCGGGGGUAGAGCACUGUUUCGGCUAGGGGGUCAUCCCGACUUACCAACCCGAUGCAAACUACGAAUACCGAAGAAUGUUAUCACGGGAGACACACGGCGGGUGCUAACGUCCGUCGUGAAGAGGGAAACAACCCAGACCGCCAGCUAAGGUCCCAAAGUCAUGGUUAAGUGGGAAACGAUGUGGGAAGGCACAGACAGCCAGGAUGUUGGCUUAGAAGCAGCCAUCAUUUAAAGAAAGCGUAAUAGCUCACUGGUCGAGUCGGCCUGCGCGGAAGAUGUAACGGGGCUAAACCAUGCACCGAAGCUGCGGCAGCGACACUAUGUGUUGUUGGGUAGGGGAGCGUUCUGUAAGCCUGCGAAGGUGACCUGUGAGGGUUGCUGGAGGUAUCAGAAGUGCGAAUGCUGACAUAAGUAACGAUAAAGCGGGUGAAAAGCCCGCUCGCCGGAAGACCAAGGGUUCCUGUCCAACGUUAAUCGGGGCAGGGUGAGUCGACCCCUAAGGCGAGGCCGAAAGGCGUAGUCGAUGGGAAACAGGUUAAUAUUCCUGUACUUGGUGUUACUGCGAAGGGGGGACGGAGAAGGCUAUGUUAGCCGGGCGACGGUUGUCCCGGUUUAAGCAUGUAGGCUAAUUGUCCAGGCAAAUCCGGAUAAUCAAGGCUGAGGUGUGAUGACGAGGUACUACGGUGCUGAAGUAACAAAUGCCCUGCUUCCAGGAAAAGCCUCUAAGCAUCAGGUAACAUCAAAUCGUACCCCAAACCGACACAGGUGGUCAGGUAGAGAAUACCAAGGCGCUUGAGAGAACUCGGGUGAAGGAACUAGGCAAAAUGGUGCCGUAACUUCGGGAGAAGGCACGCUGGUGUGUAGGUGAAGCCCCUGCGGGUGGAGCUGAGACCAGUCGAAGAUACCAGCUGGCUGCAACUGUUUAUUAAAAACAC